Molecule: ribosomal RNA, 490 nt
Filed under: uncultured bacterium
Lineage: Bacteria
Description: partial 16S ribosomal RNA
Rfam family: Bacterial small subunit ribosomal RNA
Source: RNAcentral
AUUGAACGCUGGCGGCAGGCCUAACACAUGCAAGUCGAACGGUAACAGGAAGAAGCUUGCUUCUUUGCUGACGAGUGGCGGACGGGUGAGUAAUGUCUGGGAAACUGCCUGAUGGAGGGGGAUAACUACUGGAAACGGUAGCUAAUACCGCAUAACGUCGCAAGACCAAAGAGGGGGACCUUCGGGCCUCUUGCCAUCGGAUGUGCCCAGAUGGGAUUAGCUUGUUGGUGGGGUAACGGCUCACCAAGGCGACGAUCCCUAGCUGGUCUGAGAGGAUGACAAGCCACACUGGAACUGAGACACGGUCCAGACUCCUACGGGAGGCAGCAGUGGGGAAUAUUGCACAAUGGGCGCAAGCCUGAUGCAGCCAUGCCGCGUGUAUGAAGAAGGCCUUCGGGUUGUAAAGUACUUUCAGCGGGGAGGAAGGGAGUAAAGUUAAUACCUUUGCUCAUUGACGUUACCCGCAGAAGAAGCACCGGCUAACUCCGUG